RNAcentral lists this ribosomal RNA (420 nucleotides) under bacterium. Its description in RNAcentral is "partial 16S ribosomal RNA". It matches the Rfam family "Bacterial small subunit ribosomal RNA", at positions 355 to 776 of the family's 1533-position model. The record is from RNAcentral.
UGGGGGAUAUUGCACAAUGGGCGAAAGCCUGAUGCAGCGACGCCGCGUGGGGGAUGAAGGCUUUCGGGUUGUAAACCUCUUUCGCUAUCGAACAAGGCCCGCUUAGGGUGGGUUGAGGGUAGGGGGAGAAGAAGCGCCGGCUAACUACGUGCCAGCAGCCGCGGUAAUACGUAGGGCGCGAGCGUUGUCCGGAAUUAUUGGGCGUAAAGGGCUUGUAGGCGGCUUGUUGCGCCUGCUGUGAAAACGCGGGGCUUAACUUCGCGCGUGCAGUGGGUACGGGCAGGCUUGAGUGUGGUAGGGGUGACUGGAAUUCCAGGUGUAGCGGUGGAAUGCGCAGAUAUCUGGAGGAGCACCGAUGGCGAAGGCAGGUCACUGGGCCAUUACUGACGCUGAGGAGCGAAAGCAUGGGUAGCGAACAGG